UCUCUGGUGGAGCCGGGCGGAGCUUCUUGUUCAGUCUGUUUUAGUUUUGCCAACUUCUUCUGAGAAAACAACAGGAACGCUCCUGAGAGACCAAAACACACAUACACAAAUAUUACAUUACAGAUAUUCAUGUAGGACAUGCAAAAAUAUGUUAUGUAGCAAUUCACUGUCCUGGAUUCUCCUGAUCAAACUAAUGACUCCCAUUGAUCCAAAAUAACUCAAUAUGGUGGUUUAGUUUCCAAAAUAAAAUGUGUCUGAAAUGGGUUGCCAAGUUAAACAAACAGGGUUCAAGCCAACUUAAAUAUACGGUAAAUCUAAAAAAAAAUGUGAUUACAUAUCAGGCAGACAUCAGUCCAGCAUACACAUAAGAUCAUUUACUGCCAAGUCAAACUUUGCUAUCUACCUCUCCGUGGACAGGCCACCUCUCUCUUUGCUUUCCAUCGCUGGAUGGCUGCAAAGUGGCUACUGGCAGUCUGAGGGUCGAAACGGGCCAAAACCUCAUCCAGGCCCUGAGACCUCCUGAUCACCUGGUAGGAGGAAACACACAACUUGUUCUGUCAAAAUGUUCAGGUUUAUUUACUACUAAUCAAACAGGAAGUUGUGUUGUAAUCCGUCUUUUAUUCAGACAACGAAGACAGAAUCAUAGCUUUCAGUAUGAAGAGGAGAGGCUCACCCACAUCUAAAACAAACCAUGUUGGAGUUUCAACAGUAAAUCAAAGGGAAUUAAGAUUUAAUUUAUAUCUUAAUUUUCAGCAAAAGUCCAAAUACAGUUUCCACUGCAGAACCACAACAUUUUUUCUCUGGUGUCAAGCGGAUAUUUACUGAGUUUUUCCGUUUGGCUGCUUAAAUGAUUUAUAGUAGUAGUAUUACUACACACAUGAAAUCUAAUCACUUCAGUCAAUACAAAAUGAUGCAACAGACAGGACUGAUAAUGAAAACGCAAUCUACUGUACUCGGAAAGUGACCUGUUUACAUAGUGUCACUGAUACUGCAUUGUCCUUGGGCUUGCCAGUAUAACUGUGGUGCAAUACUAAAGUCCUUUUGUACUUUAAGGUUCAUAAAGGAGUAUUAUAUUUAAAGAAAUGAAAAGGCAAAAUUAAGAAUGUUCUUGCUUCCUGUUUGUAGUAUCAGACUAUUUAGAAAGCUAGACUGGAUUCCCAUAAGGUCAGACUGUCUCUGAAACGUCACAGAAACAAUACAGACAAAUGUUUGUGUAGAUUCACAGUCAUGCAGCUGUAGCGUACUGAGGAGCAGAACAUUCCAGAGCAACACACAAGGAUCUAAAGAUCCUUUCUCAAACCAUUUCAGGAGACAGAUAACCCAAAAUUCACCUCCAAAUGGAACAUCUGCUGACUGGAAGUUUGCAAAUAAAGGACCAUUAACGACUCUCUUGGAGACAACAGGAAUCACCACCGGAAUCUGAUAAGGGUCAUAAAAGUGUCAACUGUGAGGGAAACCACACCUCUGCAGGAGAGGACUGGCAUUCUGAUCUCCCGACCUAACGCACAGAACUUGGUAUGCAGGAAUGAAUUGAACAGUUUAAAACAGAACAUUAAGGAAAUGCAGCAUCACCAGAGUGACGAUCUGGACUCAGUCUCUGAUACCAGGUUGAUCAGGACCAGUAUGGAAGAAGAACACAUGGAAUCUGAAGUGUUUGUGGAGAAGAACAACCAAGAUACCAACACCCCACCUCUCUCUCUGUCACAGACCACAGCCAUAAAAGACACAGAGACUUUUUAAUUUAAGUGUAUAUACUCGCUAAGUCUUACUUUUCUUCUUAUUAAAGGUAUGUGCUUGUGUUUUAGCUAUGUUAUGAAUUUACUUUCAUGUAGCCUAAAUGAUUGAAUCUGACUCCAAAACUUUCUAUAAAGAGGAAAGUCACUGGAAUGCAAAGCGAUUUGGAAGAAAGGCUUGUAGAACAUGGGCUUGCAAGGCUCUCUCAGAAAAAUGGGCCCUUAGAAGAAGGCAAUUGGGCUUUAGAAUUACUUAAGAGAAAUGCUGCUUUGUUUAUGUGUUCCUGAACCAACUCAUCCUGUAGAUCAUCACAGCUCCACAUCCUGCAGCGGCCUCCCUCUCACUACUACAAAGGUCAUGACACCUGCAAAGACUUGCGGUAAAAAAGGAACUGGACGUCUCUUAGAUCUGACAGUACAUAUUUAUCCCCAGGGGCCAUUUUGAAGCGCCAUGGGGCCCAUGAACUACACCUUCACUGUGGCAGCCAUUUUGGCCAGUGGCAUCCACUGAGGGGGACGCACUGAAUUUGACAAGGCUGCACAUUUUCAGUAUGUUAACACACCGUGAAUUCUUUAUCUUCACUGCAGCCUUUGUGUUCACACCACUUGACAACAUCCUGAGAAGCUGAGUGAAACUGCGUCUAUGCUUUAGUGGAACCUUCUUGCUAUGGAACAAUAACCACAUGUUGAACGGAGAUUGGUCAUUUGGGUACGGCUUCUGUGGUUUCAUGGGCAGCAUGGUUGCAAAUGCAGAUCAGCAGCAGUGACACACAAAACACUUCUACAUGCAAAUACCUUCAUAUCGAUCAAAAGCUACUUAUUGGCAUUAAACAGUAGACCUAUUACUGACAUCAUUUGACAGAAUACAAAUCAAUUAAUAAACAUGCACCAGUAUUUUAAUAAUUCAAUUAAAAAUGAGUCUAUUUGCAUUUUUAUAGUAUGAAAAUAUACACAAAUACUGAGGUCAUAGCUAGAAGUGACCAAACUCGCUUGCACUACCAGCUCUGAUAUUUUGCUCAAACCAUACGAUCUAGUUCCACAGUCUAACUGGAGUUUAUCAGCCUGCUGAAUGUAAAUGUUAGCCAGUUUAUCUCAAGUAUUCCUACAUCUUCUAACAGCAUUUUAAGCAUAAUAUCAGGCCAAAUUAUCAAACCAGCUGAUCUGCGAGGUGGUUUUUGGAAAAUUCAUUAACAGUAUGAAAGGAAAUCCUGUGAAGCAUAAAGGUGCUAUCGUUGAUGUUUCCUACAGCUGCUAAUAGGCUAGAGCAGACAUAAAAGUAUGAGAGAAAAUGUAUUUUUGUCAUUGUUUGGGUUAAAAAGAAGGAGACAUGUAAAGAAAUAUAUCCAUUAGUGAGCACUGACCAAUGAGCAAACCACAGAUGCCGAAAAAUAUCACCACAUCUGAGGUUUAACUUAAACCUAGUGCACAAUUGGUUUGUCAGAUAUAUGAGGUUUGAGAUGAGGUUAAGCUUACAUCAUUUGCCAAACUGUCAAAAAAAUAUGAGCUAAAGCAUCAUGGCUCCAUUUAGUCACCAAAGUACAGCAGAAUCUGCAUCAACUGCAAAGUAAAAGGUUUAAAAUAUAAUCACAAGUAAUAAUAAGAACUACAUCUCAGCUCAGCCAAAAAGAGACGUUGCCAUCUGUCACCAGGAAAAAUAAACAUGCUUUAUCAUAUGGGUUUAGAAUUUGACAUUGUCACAGAAGUUUCAUGCUUGUGUUUUGUUUUGUCAUACCUCAUAGUUGUCCUCUAUGAAGGGAAACUGUCGUGGCUGCAGGAACUGAGUCUUGGGGAUGUCCAAUCCAUCUUCACCAUAUAGGAACUGCACCACUGAUCCAUCACUGUCCCUCACUGUCAGGUCGUACUGCACCACCAAACCCUCCAGAUGCUUAAUCACACAUCUGCAGAGGAGAGGAUGUGAGAGAGGAAAGAAGAUAAGCAGAGGACUGGCUCAGCUAUGGAUGACACAAACAAUCCUAAAUAAAUUAGUGUUUAUUUGCAAAUGCCACAAGGAAACAUUUCCCUCAAAAAAAAAAAAAAAAAAAAAAAAAAUUAAAAGAUGGUUUCGGUUGAAUUCGACUCAACCGUGUCUGUACUUUCGGCAGCUGGGAUCACAGCUGGAUCAAAGAAAGCUUCAUAUUUGGUUUAGAAACUCCCACUGACACCAAUACAUCCAUGAUUUCAGUCAUGCCCGAACUAAAUACUGACCAAAAUCUGUCAACAUUUGCAUUGCUAACUACAGCAAAGCUCAUAUAAAGUUGGUUACCUCUGCAGAUAUCCUGAUCUUGAUGUUUUCACAGCUGUGUCGACCAGCCCUUCUCUACCGGCCAUACAGUGGAAGAAAAACUCCUAAAAACAACAACAACAACAUUACACACAAGUAAAGAAAUGUAUCAUGACAUAACAAGAGUGUUCAUAAACAACUGUAAGGCCUAAAGCUGAAAAAUCAUAGUAGUGAUGUUUAAUAAAGUGUUCAAACUCCUUCA
Long non-coding RNA from Amphiprion ocellaris (clown anemonefish), 4216 nucleotides. RefSeq lists it as uncharacterized. The transcript has 3 exons. The record is from RefSeq and is a predicted model, not a curated record. NCBI's taxonomy places the organism in Eukaryota, Metazoa, Chordata, Actinopteri, Pomacentridae.